RNAcentral lists this transfer RNA (75 nucleotides) under Elioraea tepida. Its description in RNAcentral is "Elioraea sp. MS-P2 tRNA-Thr". It matches the Rfam family "tRNA". From Rfam's summary of the family: Transfer RNA (tRNA) molecules are approximately 80 nucleotides in length. Lineage: Bacteria; Pseudomonadati; Pseudomonadota; Alphaproteobacteria; Acetobacterales; Elioraeaceae. The record is from RNAcentral.
GCCCGGUUAGCACAGCGGCAGUGCAGCGGUUUUGUAAACCGAAGGCCGGGGGUUCAAAUCCCUCACCGGGCACCA